This 443-nucleotide long non-coding RNA is filed under the name Vulpes vulpes (red fox). RNAcentral describes it as "lncRNA (ENSVVUG00000018547.1)". Lineage: Eukaryota; Metazoa; Chordata; Mammalia; Carnivora; Canidae. The record is from RNAcentral.
UUUUCCGUGUCUCUAUGAUUUUCUAUGAUCUGAAGAUCUUCUGCACUAAAAUCUUUUAUUAUAAGUAAUAAAGACAGAUGACCCAAAGAAUAUUUUAAUGUACUGGUUCUGUAUCAUUGUAUUCACACCUCCACAGAGACAUCAUUUCAUCACAAGAAAGCACUCAGUUUUAUAUGUGUUGAUUAUAAUUUCAAGUACCCUGCUACAGAAUAGCUGAAUCAUCUUUUCUUUAGAGCCAGGUCGGAUGCCUUAUGGCUCUUCGACUUCACUAGUGGGGCAGUUCAUAACCCUUUCCUGGGGACUGAGCAUUUCUCUCAGAAACAAUUCUGGCCACGGAGCAAGUAAUGAAAUGAGAACAAAAAAUAUUUCAUAUCGUGGGUCUUCUCCUUUCCUCUACAUCAAUAGUUUUACACCUCUGGAAAUCAUCAUGAGCUGAUCUCAAU